UCUCCGAUUGAAACUUUGAAGUUGCUGCCAUGGAGGAGAGUUUCAGAGUGAGAGUCGACAAGACAUUUGGAUCUCUUACAGCCUCAUCAUCAGCGCAGCUGAGUUCCCUCUGGUGUCUCACGGCCGACGAGAUUGAGAGAAACGAGGAGGUUUCUGAACCUCGGACCAACAGCUUCCUGGGGAAAAAGAAGUCGAUGGACUCUCAUGCGCAGCUAGAGAACGACCUGGCGGAAUUAUAUGUUGACGAGGAUGGCCAUGAGGACGAUUACGACGAGGAGUGGGAGAUCAAAGCUUCUAUUGGAUUGGACUCUACUCUUGAUUUUGAGGAAGAGGAUGACGAAUACGACAAAGUGGCUGUAGGCAAGGAAAAUAAAGAAGACCGGUUGUACAUGAAAGACGUGAACAACUACGAGACGGAAGCUGAUGACUGGGAUGCACUCCCAACAUCUUUCAAGGACCUGGCAAGGGACCCACGUGCCAAUCACAUUGCUGCAAAGAUACGGCUCAAAGAGGAUGCUGAAACUGCUAAGAAGAUGAACUCUUUGCAUGUCUCUGUGGUAUCUCAGGAUGAUCAGUUUAUGUCCCCAUCCAUAAUCAGAGCAGCUCUGGGGGUGUCUGAAAAUAAAGCAGGUUUUCAAGUGUCUGAGGAUAAUCGGUCUUGGUCCAUGUCAACCCAACCGAAGGUGUCUGAAUCUGAUGAUAACAACUCGCUGUCCCUUUCUGAAGCCAGAGAAUCUUUGUCGGCAUUUGCUGAGAAGGCUUCUGUUUGCACUUCGGAGUAUGGUGGUCUUAAAAAAAUACUAAAGAGGAAGGAUGUUCAGAUUGAUCCUAAGUUGCGGAAGCGUGUUCGUUUUAGUUCAGAUUACUGCAGGGAUGAACGAGGGGAAAAAGACUCUGAAAUGCAGACAUUUUCAGCUGAUGAGAAUAAAGUAGAGAAGGAAUAUCUGAAUCAGGUUCCAGAUUAUAUGCGAAACCCUUCAAAAUACACUCGAUAUACAUUUGGUUCAGAUGAGAUGGAUGAAGAAUCCAACCGCAAAGCCUACAUGGACUUUAUCAACAUGAUGAAGAGUGAAGAGCAUUCUUCAGUGGAGUUGCCAAGAUCAGUAUCCUUUGUACCAAAAAGAAAACCACCGGCUGAAACAGAAUUAGGACAAAAGAAAGUAGGCAAGGAUUCAGUGGGUAAAAGAGGUGUAAUGGCCGUUGAUGCUGUAGAGGAUGAUGAAGUCUGUCCAAUGAAAGAAGCUGAUGAUACCUCGGAAACAGCAGUAAAUGUUAUGAUGAGAAGUGAUAAGCAGAGAUAUAGCCGCCAAUAUCGAAACAAAGUGAAGGAAAGGCCAUGAUGAUUGUUAAUUGCUCCCCUUACGAAUACAAAGUGAAGGAUGAGCCUUAAUGAUUGUUAAUUGUUCCACUUGAUAUGAUACAAAGUGAAGGGAGAGCCUGUUGAAUGUUAAUUGCUCCACUAUAUGUUCUCUCUUUUUUAUCCCGUGCAACGUGCAUUUGGGAUUUGAGUGGGAUCUGAUAAGAAAAAAGAACUGAAAUUUGUCAGAAGUUGAUACUUCUGUCCAUCUGUUCUAAAAUUCAUGUCCAGGAACUGAUUUCUUAGGCGAAUCACCCAGACUGAGUUUAACUGAGAACUAGGGCGAGCUUAGUGUUGGUGAAAUUUUUGUACGCCCUAAUCUGUGACUUGAGCUCUAUCUCCUGAUUCGGCUUCUGAUUCUCAAGUUGCUGCUGAGCAGGUCUAGCAUUGAGCCAGGUACCACUGUGACUGUCAGGUGGAGUGGAAAGCCAGUCUUCCUCAGGCGCCGAACAGAUGAGGAUAUCAAUCUGGCAACACAAUGUUGAUUUGUUAUCUCUUUGGGAUGCAGAAAGUGAAGAACCCAGAAUGGCUCAUUGUGGUCGGGUUAUGCGCUCAUCUAGGCUGCGUUCCCUUGCCCAAAGGCUGGAGACUUUGGGGGAGCCAUGGCUCUCAUUACGACAUUUUUGGCAGGAACCUGGCUCAUCCCUGGACGACAAGAAGUUGCUGAUUGGUUCAGAAAGUAAAUGUUUUUUUGCUCACGGCAGAAAAUAUUACAAAAAGAAAAAGAGUUUAUUGAUUCAGUUGGAUAAGAGCCAGUAAACGGUUGGGGGAACAAAACUCUGUUGGGUGUUGGGUAUUAGGUCCAGUUUGUUUAUGAAACUUAAAUAUGUGAGUUUAAACAUUAACUUUCGUGGCCUUUUUUGUGAAUGUGAAAGCUUGCUGUUAGAUGUUCUA
Tarenaya hassleriana is the source of this 2251-nucleotide RNA transcript. RefSeq lists it as uncharacterized. The record is from RefSeq and is a predicted model, not a curated record. Lineage: Eukaryota; Viridiplantae; Streptophyta; Magnoliopsida; Brassicales; Cleomaceae. The transcript has 4 exons.